AUUGAACGCUGGCGGCAUGCCUUACACAUGCAAGUCGAACGGUAACAGGUCUUCGGAUGCUGACGAGUGGCGAACGGGUGAGUAAUACAUCGGAACGUGCCUAGUCGUGGGGGAUAACUACUCGAAAGAGUAGCUAAUACCGCAUGAGAUCUACGGAUGAAAGCAGAGGACCUUCGGGACUUGUGCUACUAGAGCGGCCGAUGGCAGAUUAGGUAGUUGGUGGGAUAAAAGCUUACCAAGCCGACGAUCUGUAGCUGGUCUGAGAGGACGACCAGCCACACUGGGACUGAGACACGGCCCAGACUCCUACGGGAGGCAGCAGUGGGGAAUUUUGGACAAUGGGCGAAAGCCUGAUCCAGCAGUGCCGCGUGCAGGAUGAAGGCCUUCGGGUUGUAAACUGCUUUUGUACGGAACGAAAAAGCUCCUUCUAAUACAGGGGGCCCAUGACGGUACCGUAAGAAUAAGCACCGGCUAACUACGUGCCAGCCGCCGCAGUAA
RNAcentral lists this ribosomal RNA (498 nucleotides) under uncultured bacterium. RNAcentral describes it as "partial 16S ribosomal RNA". It matches the Rfam family "Bacterial small subunit ribosomal RNA", at positions 30 to 523 of the family's 1533-position model. The record is from RNAcentral.